Molecule: ribosomal RNA, 497 nt
Filed under: uncultured bacterium
Lineage: Bacteria
Description: partial 16S ribosomal RNA
Rfam family: Bacterial small subunit ribosomal RNA
Source: RNAcentral
GAUGAACGCUGGCGGCGUGCCUAAUACAUGCAAGUCGAGCGAACAGACGAGGAGCUUGCUCCUCUGACGUUAGCGGCGGACGGGUGAGUAACACGUGGAUGACCUACCUAUAAGACUGGGAUAACUUCGGGAAACCGGAUCUAAUACCGGAUAAUAUAUUGAACCGCAUGGUUCAAUAGUGAAAGACGGUUUUGCUGUCACUUAUAGAUGGAUCCGCGCCGCAUUAGCUAGUUGGUAAGGUAACGGCUUACCAAGGCAACGAUGCGUAGCCGACCUGAGAGGGUGAUCGGCCACACUGGAACUGAGAAACGGUCCAGACUCCUACGGGAGGCAGCAGUAGAGAAUCUUCCGCAAUGGGCGAAAGCCUGACGGAGCAACGCCGCGUGAGUGAUGAAGGUCUUCGGAUCGUAAAACUCUGUUAUUAGGGAAGAACAAAUGUGUAAGUAACUAUGCACGUCUUGACGGUACCUAAUCAGAAAGCCACGGCUAACUACGUG